AUGAACAGUCUCAGAGAGGCACUGCCUUGUUAGAAUCAGCAGGUAGACUGCUUAGAGGGAGACUGGGAGCAGCGAUGGAGCUUUGUCCUGCUGGCUGGAGAAACCAAUGUCCAUAAAGAAAAGACUCCGGAGGGGGCGGGGGCGUGAAUUCCCAGCCCUCAGGACCAGGUGAAAAGUGAAGAGAACUCCAGUGUUUCUGGCUAGAACCACACUUAACUUUCAGAGGGAGAAGAAGCUGCCUCAUCUUCCAGGGAGCAAGGAGGAGCAAGUCAGGCUCUCAGCCAGUCCAUUACUCAGCAGCCACCAGGUUCCAGAUGCUAGCAAGAUGCCAACCAGACUUCCCUGGACAGACAACCCCACCAGUGUGUCCUGGAGCUCCGAUUCCGCAGAACCCUGCCCCACUAGGGAAAGAGAGAGACAGGCUG
Molecule: long non-coding RNA, 425 nt
Organism: Erinaceus europaeus (western European hedgehog)
Lineage: Eukaryota; Metazoa; Chordata; Mammalia; Eulipotyphla; Erinaceidae
Exons: 3
Source: RefSeq, a predicted model, not a curated record